RNAcentral lists this long non-coding RNA (1033 nucleotides) under Crocodylus porosus (Australian saltwater crocodile). Its description in RNAcentral is "lncRNA (ENSCPRG00005015032.1)". Lineage: Eukaryota; Metazoa; Chordata; Crocodylia; Crocodylidae. The record is from RNAcentral.
NNNNNNNNNNNNNNNCCCAUCCUCCAUCCUUUGUAGGCUUUCCUUUUUAGCCGCAGGAGGUCCUCAUCCUGUGCACCCCUUUUUCACAAGUCUAGACGCACCCAUGUUUCUAUAAACACUUCACACUGAUUUUCCACAGGGCCAAAUGUCCCAGGCAUGAGUUCAUGCAACAGCUUUCCCCCUUUUACCCCGAAAAACCUGCAUGCAUUGGGCUCAUGUGCCCACAGCACAUGCAGGGCAGCAGUGCACUAGCACAGUUCUGCCAUGUGUGGGCCUCCUUGUGCCUGUCAAGACAAACCCAUUGGCAUGAACGACACGUGUCCCCCGGAGGCUGGGGGGCAAUGCGACUGCCUGCAGGCAGCGGUGGUGUUGGCAGCAGGGUUGGGUGGCAAGUGGGGAGCUCCUGCAGGCAGCUGUGCCGUGUCGGCAGCGCGGGCGGGCUGAGCAGGGAGCACCUGCAGGCGGCUGCGGCGGUGUCGAUGGCGGGGAAGUGGCGAGUGGUGACCAGCAGUCAGCGACCACCUGCAGAUGCCACCAGUAGCCUUGACAGUGGCCAGUGGAAGCUGGGGACCGCUUGCAGAUGCUGCCAGUGGUGUCAGUGGCGAGCGCCUACUGCCUGCACCAUCGGUGGCGCUUUCCGCAGGGGGUGCACCACCAACCUCAGGGGCUGCACGUGCACCCACGCGUCGCCAGUGCGCAUUGGCCCGCUUAGCAAUACCAGCUCCUCCGACUUCCACAGCGUUGGCCCCUCCACUUGUGGCAGGGAUGGCUCAAAGGUCGGCCCCACCGGGUGUCCUAGCAGUGAAGUUUGGUGCCCGGGGCAAACGCCUGCCUUGUGCACAGACCUGGAGGUGCAGCCUUGCCCCGUCCCCGCCCAAACGAGCUGCUCCGCAGCGCCUGUGCCCGCUCGCCCCCCUUGCUGCAGCCCUGGCCCCUUUCUCUUGUCCUCGCCGGGCACUGCCGCUGCUUUCCCGAGCCCCGGGGUCGCGCUGCCCAGGCCGACUCGUGCACCGGGGCUGCCCGGGCUCGGCGC